This 433-nucleotide ribosomal RNA is filed under the name uncultured bacterium. RNAcentral describes it as "partial 16S ribosomal RNA". It matches the Rfam family "Bacterial small subunit ribosomal RNA", at positions 29 to 507 of the family's 1533-position model. The record is from RNAcentral.
AACGAACGCUGGCGGCAUGCCUAACACAUGCAAGUCGAACGAGACCUUCGGGCUUAGUGGCGCACGGGUGCGUAACGCGUGGGAACCUGCCUUUAGGUUCGGAAUAACUCCCUGAAAUGGGCGUUAAUACCGGAUACUGUUUUCGGACAAGAGAUUUAUCUCCUUUGGAUGGGCUCGCGUUGGUUUAGCUAGUUGGUAGGGUACAAGCCCACCAAGGCGACGAUUCAUGGCUGGUCUGAUCAGAUGAUCAGCCACACUGGGACUGAGACACGGCCCAGACUCCGACGGGAGGCAGGAGUGGAGAAUACUGGACAAUGGGCGAAAGCCUGGUCCAGCAAUGCCGCGUGAGUGAUGAAGGCCGUAGGAUUGUAAAGCUCUUUUACCCGGAAUGAUAAUGACAGUACCGGGAGAAGAAGCUCCGGCUAACUCCGUG